Molecule: long non-coding RNA, 318 nt
Filed under: Brassica rapa (field mustard)
Lineage: Eukaryota; Viridiplantae; Streptophyta; Magnoliopsida; Brassicales; Brassicaceae
Description: long non-coding RNA (BRAP_LNC001114)
Source: RNAcentral
GAAUAUGUUACUCUUUAUAUUAGUGGAAACAAAAGUUUUACUCCCAUUUUAUUUUCUAAUUAACUUUUUUUAUCCCUCCCUUUUACUCUAUUAUUUACCAAUCCAAUCCUAUGGCUCUGAUUGAAAAGUACAUCCAAAUAUAAUAAUUUGGAGUAAAAUAAUUUUCUGUUGAGUUAUUAUGAUUUUUAGCCAAUUAAUUGGAAAUACUUUUCACCCAUUAAAGCUAAAAAGGAAGGAAAGUAGACCAAUAUGUUACUUUCAAUAAUAGUGGAAAUAAAUUUUUUACUAACAUUUUCACUUUUUUUUUAAUUUUCUCCU